UACAGAGGGGGCAAGCGUUGUUCGGAAUUACUGGGCGUAAAGGGCGCGUAGGCGGCCUGUUAAGUCGGACGUGAAAUCCCCAGGCUCAACCUGGGAACUGCGUCCGAUACUGGCAGGCUUGAAUCCGGGAGAGGGAUGCGGAAUUCCAGGUGUAGCGGUGAAAUGCGUAGAUAUCUGGAGGAACACCGAUGGCGAAGGCAGGUCUCUGGGCCACUACUGACGCUGAGAAGCGAAAGCAUGGGGAGCGAACAGG
This 253-nucleotide ribosomal RNA is filed under the name uncultured bacterium. Its description in RNAcentral is "partial 16S ribosomal RNA". It matches the Rfam family "Bacterial small subunit ribosomal RNA", at positions 524 to 776 of the family's 1533-position model. The record is from RNAcentral.